UUAGAAUUGGGCUUCGACUUCUUCUAGAAAGUUGUUCGAAAUGUUGAGAGGAAGAUUCUGUCAAAUUUUGGUGGUGAUUGGAGGUGGCCGAAAGUUUCUGCAGUUUUUUUUUCUAAAAAGCAGUAAUUUUAGCCAACGACAUUUAAAUACUUUAGCCGAAGAUAUUCGUCGGCUAUAGUAUUUUUUAAUUUUUUUUUUUUUAUAAGGUUUAGCUGACGAAUUAUGGCAUGUUUCGUCGGCUAAACACUUCUAAAGCCAACGAAACAGACUAUAUUUCGUCGGCUAUUGUUAUUUUUUAAUUUUUUAUUACAUACUUUAGCCGACGAAUAUCGUUGGCUAAAGUCUCUGAUUAUAGUUGAUGAAACAUUUAAGAUAUUCGUCGGCUAUUGUCCCAGAUAAUAGCCGAUGAUGUCUUCUAGUGUCGUCGGCUAAAGUCAUCGCCGACGACCCUUUCCCGACGAAACCAUAGGCGACGAAGGCUCGUCGGCUAAGAUCUUAGCCGACGAAUUUAGCUAACAAGCCGACGAAACUUUUUCUUCAGCUAAAGUGCUUGUCCUGGUAGUGAUUGUUCAAAGAUUGUGUACGUAUCUUCUCUUCAUUAACAUGAAAAAUGAGAGAAGGAAGCUAUGUAUGGAAGCAUUUAUGGAUGGAGACUUUAGCUAUCAAGCUUGAGAAGUUUGAAAGAUGGAGAGUCAUUUUCACAUGGAGAUGAAGUUGAAUGAAGAUCAUUGUUGCCCUAUAAAUAGAUAUUGCUUCAAGUGAAUAAGGGAGGAGGAAGAGAGUGGAGAAUUAGAGACACUUUGUUGCUCUUUGUUCUUCCCUUUCUUUAGAUACUUUUUGUAUAAUGUUUUUUAUUUGUUUAAGCAUGUUUUCAAUUUGUACUAUGUCUUGCUAAUUUCCUUAACUAAGGUUAAGGAGGAAACCACAUUAUGAAAUAAGUUUCUUUUAAUUAUCUACAAUUCCCAUAGCUAUGACUCUUACUUCAAAAUGCAUUAAUAAAAUCUUUGUUCCUU
Molecule: long non-coding RNA, 1013 nt
Filed under: Fragaria vesca (wild strawberry)
Lineage: Eukaryota; Viridiplantae; Streptophyta; Magnoliopsida; Rosales; Rosaceae
Description: long non-coding RNA (FVES_LNC005425)
Source: RNAcentral